ACUGGGCGUAAAGGGAGCGUAGGCGGUGAGGUAAGUCAGAUGUGAAAUUCCAGGGCUCAACCCUGGAACUGCAUCCGAUACUGCCUUACUAGAGUAGUGGAGGGGCAUCUGGAAUUCACGGUGUAGCAGUGAAAUGCGUAGAGAUCGUGAGGAACACUAGUGGCGAAGGCGAGAUGCUGGACACUUACUGACGCUGAGGCUCGAAGGCCAGGGUAGCGAAAGGGAUUAGAUACCCCUGUAGUCCUGGCAGUAAACGGUGCACGUUUGGUGUGAGAAGGUUCGACCCUUUUCGUGCCGGAGUUAACGCGUUAAACGUGCCGCCUGGGGAGUACGGUCGCAAGACUAAAACUCAAAGAAAUUGACGGGGACCCGCACAAGCGGUGGAGUAUGUGGCUUAAUUCGAUGCAACGCGAAGAACCUUACCUAGGCUUGACAUGCAUCUCUAAACCGGUGAAAGCCGGGGAGCGGAGCAAUCCGUAAUUUGCACAGGUGCUGCAUGGCU
Molecule: ribosomal RNA, 502 nt
Filed under: uncultured Verrucomicrobiaceae bacterium
Lineage: Bacteria; Pseudomonadati; Verrucomicrobiota; Verrucomicrobiia; Verrucomicrobiales; Verrucomicrobiaceae
Description: bacterial SSU rRNA
Rfam family: Bacterial small subunit ribosomal RNA
Source: RNAcentral